This 362-nucleotide ribosomal RNA is filed under the name Foraminifera environmental sample. RNAcentral's name for it is "SSU rRNA". It matches the Rfam family "Eukaryotic small subunit ribosomal RNA", at positions 1129 to 1420 of the family's 1831-position model. Lineage: Eukaryota; Foraminifera. The record is from RNAcentral.
ACGCACGUGUGAAACUUGAAGGAAUUGACGGAAGGGCACCACAAGAACGCGUGGAUCAUGUGGCUUAAUUUGACCCAACGCGGGGAAAUCUUACCGGGUCCGGACACACUGAGGAUUGACAGGUUUCGAGAGUUUUUUUGGAGUUCGCUCCAGAAUGCUCUCUUAAAUAUGCUAGUCCUUUCAUGAUUAUGUGAUAGGUGGUGCAUGGCCGUUCUUAGUUCGUGGAGUGAUCUGUCUGCUUAAUUGCGUUUCACUAAAGGCGUCAUUAUAUUUUUGUGCUUGUGUUUGACCCCUCUUUCUUCGGAUUGAGCGCGUGUCUUUCACACACAAUUACUUUGACGUCUGAAAGCAACGAACGUGAC